GAGUUUGAUCUUGGCUCAGAUUGAACGCUGGCGGCAUGCCUUACACAUGCAAGUCGAGCGGCAGCAUGAUCUAGCUUGCUAGAUUGAUGGCGAGUGGCGAACGGGUGAGUAAUACAUCGGAACGUGCCCUGUAGUGGGGGAUAACUAGUCGAAAGAUUAGCUAAUACCGCAUACGACCUGAGGGUGAAAGUGGGGGACCGCAAGGCCUCAUGCUAUAGGAGCGGCCGAUGUCUGAUUAGCUAGUUGGUGGGGUAAAGGCCCACCAAGGCGACGAUCAGUAGCUGGUCUGAGAGGACGAUCAGCCACACUGGGACUGAGACACGGCCCAGACUCCUACGGGAGGCAGCAGUGGGGAAUUUUGGA
Molecule: ribosomal RNA, 363 nt
Filed under: uncultured microorganism
Description: bacterial SSU rRNA
Rfam family: Bacterial small subunit ribosomal RNA
Source: RNAcentral